Long non-coding RNA from Cottoperca gobio, 1678 nucleotides. Lineage: Eukaryota; Metazoa; Chordata; Actinopteri; Perciformes; Bovichtidae. The record is from Ensembl.
UGUGUAUAUAUCUCUGUCUGUUAUCCGACCGCUCGUGUUCUGCUCAGCCUGUUUGUGUUCUGCUCAGCCUGUUCAUGUUCUGCUCGUACCUACCCCGUGUCUACCUGGUUUGUCUGUUUACUGUUAUUUUGCUACUUUGUAUAAGUGUUUCAGCUUUGUUUUAUUAAAACUCGCUUUUUGUUAUAAUAUCGUCUGCUGAACUGCUUUUGGGUCCUCUCCUACACCACACCAUGACAGUACGAACCCACCAUAGAAAUGGACCCAGUGGUUUUGAAAGACGAGGAUUUUUUUUGAUCUGCAGAUGGUUUUAGGGGGUCUUUUGAGGGAAUGGAAGGAAGCCACCUGUAGAAGGGACCGGCAGGCCCUUCUUCGAGAGGCCCGCGGGGAGGUAGCUAAGAAGUCGUGGUUGAGGAGUCUUCUGCCUGAGGUACCAAGGAAUUUCCUCAACUUUUGCUGAUCAUUCUGCCUUUGCGUCAGCUCGGCGGACCUCCGUUCCUGCAGCCGGACCUCUGCAGACCCCGGCCGUCCACCUGCCGCCUCUGCAGACCCCGGCUUUCCACUUGCCGCCUCUGCAGACCCCGGCUGACCACCUGCCGCCUCUGCAGAACGCGGCCGUGCCCCUGCCGCCUCUGCAGAACGCGGCCGUCUCCCUGCCGCCUCUGCAGACCCCGGCUGUUCCCCAGCUGCCCUUCGAGGCCCUAGUCCCUGUUCCUGCUGUUGGACAGCGACAACCCUCCGUUCCUGCUGCCGGGCCGCGACAGCCUCCAGUUUCUUCUGCCGGGCCGCAACAGCAUCCUGUUUCUGCUGUCGGGCCGCAACAGCAUCCUGUUUCUGCUGCCGGGUCGCAUCAGUCCUCUGUUUCCGCUGUUGGGCCGCGACAGCCUCCAGUUCCAGCUGCCGGACCUCCGCAGACUUCAGUUCCUGCUGCCGGACCUCCGCAGACUUCAGUUCCCGCUGCCGGACCUCCGCAGACUUCAGUUCCCGCUGCCGGACCUCCGCAGACUUCAGUUCCCGCUGCCGGACCUCCGCAGACCCCCGUCCCUACUGCUGGAUCUCUGCUAACAUCUGCCCCAGCUGUUCACCAGCUGCUCCUCGAGACAUCAGCCCCUGUGCUCCCUCUGUCCCUCGAUACCCCUGACCCUGUGCUCCCUCUGUCCCUCGAUACCCCUGACCCUGUGCUCCCUCUGUCCCUCGAUAGCCCUGACCCUGUGCUCCCUCUGUCCCUCGAUAGCCCUGACCCUGUGCUCCCUCUGUCCCUCGAUACCCCAGACCCUGUGCGCCCUCUGUCUCUCGAUACCCCAGCCUCUGUGAUCCCUCUGUCCCUCGGGACCCCAUCCUCUGUGAUCCCCAUCUCUUCCCGAGACCCCUGUGCUCCCAUCUCUUCCCGAGACCCCUGUGCUCCCAUCUCUUCCCGAGACCCCUGUGCUCCCAUCUCUUCCCGAGACCCAUGUGCUCCCAUCUCCUCCCGAGACCCCUUCGCUCCCCUCUCUUUCCGACAACCUAGUGCUUCCUCCAGCCCGGCCUCCUGAGCGGCUCCGCCCACAUCCUGCCCCGCCUCCCUACGGGUCUUUUGUUCAUGUUCUGCUCGUACCUACCCCGUGUAUACCCUGUGUAUACCCCGUGUCUACACCAUGUCUACACCAUGUCUACCUGGUUUGUCUAUUAUUUUGCUACUUUG